Molecule: ribosomal RNA, 465 nt
Filed under: uncultured bacterium
Lineage: Bacteria
Description: partial 16S ribosomal RNA
Rfam family: Bacterial small subunit ribosomal RNA
Source: RNAcentral
CUACGGGGUGCAGCAGUGGGGAAUAUUGGACAAUGGGGGAAACCCUGAUCCAGCAAUGCCGCGUGUGUGAAGAAGGCCUGCGGGUUGUAAAGCACUUUCGGUUGGGAGGACUGCUUCUAGCACUAAUAUUGUUGGAAGUUGACGUUACCUUCAGAAGAAGCACCGGCUAACUCCGUGCCAGCAGCCGCGGUAAUACGGAGGGUGCAUGCGUUAAUCGGAAUUACUGGGCGUACAGCGCGCGUAGGCGGCUAGAUCAGUCGGGUGUGAAAGCCCCGGGCUUAACCUGGGAACUGCAUCCGAUACUGUCUAGCUUGAGUACAGGAGAGGAGAGUGGAAUUCCACAUGUAGCGGUGAAAUGCGUAGAUAUGUGGAGGAACACCAAUGGCGAAGGCAGCUCUCUGGCCUGAUACUGACGCUGAGGUGCGAAAGCGUGGGGAGCAAACAGGAUUAGAUACCCCUGUAGUC